This 253-nucleotide ribosomal RNA is filed under the name uncultured archaeon. RNAcentral's name for it is "partial 16S ribosomal RNA". It matches the Rfam family "Archaeal small subunit ribosomal RNA", at positions 474 to 727 of the family's 1478-position model. The record is from RNAcentral.
UACCCGCUCCCCGAGUGGUGGGGACGCUUAUUGGGCCUAAAGCAUCCGUAGCCGGCUGGGUAAGUCCCCUGUUAAAUCCAGCGAUUUAAUCGCUGGACUGCGGGGGAUACUGCCCAGCUAGGGGGCGGGAGAGGCCGGCGGUAUUCCCGGGGUAGGGGUGAAAUCCUAUAAUCCCGGGAGGACCACCAGUGGCGAAGGCUGCCGGCUGGAACGCGCCCGACGGUGAGGGAUGAAAGCUGGGGGAGCGAACCGG